RNAcentral lists this unclassified non-coding RNA (206 nucleotides) under Glomeraceae sp. RNAcentral's name for it is "partial contains 5.8S ribosomal RNA and internal transcribed spacer 2". The stretch from base 1 to 71 matches the Rfam family "5.8S ribosomal RNA", at positions 84 to 154 of the family's 154-position model. The record is from RNAcentral. Lineage: Eukaryota; Fungi; Glomeromycota; Glomeromycetes; Glomerales; Glomeraceae.
GUGAAUCAUCGAAUCUUUGAACGCAACUUGCACUCCCUGGUAUUCCGGGGAGUAUGCCUGUUUGAGGGUCGUUAGACUAAAAAAUCGAGGCGUCGCUCUUUUUUUUAUGGGUGAUCGCGUCGUAAUUGAUCCGUCUUUCAAAUGUUAAUUCAUGUCAAAGUGGCUUGAUAUUCAUCCAUCCAGUACUGUUAAAGCGUAUUUUAGUU